GACGAACGCUGGCGGCGUGCCUAAUACAUGCCAGUCGAGCGAAGUUUUUCUGGUGCUUGCACUAGAAAAACUUAGCGGCGAACGGGCGAGUAACACGUAAAGAACCUGCCUCAUAGACUGGGACAACUAUUGGAAACGAUAGCUAAUACCGGAUAACAGUAUUUCUCGCAUGAGAGAUAUUUAAAAGUUGGUUAUGCUAACACUAUGAGAUGGCUUUGCGGUGCAUUAGCUAGUUGGUGGGGUAAAGGCCCACCAAGGCGACGAUGCAUAGCCGACCUGAGAGGGUGAUCGGCCACACUGGAACUGAGACACGGCCCAGACUCCUACGGGAGGCAGCAGUAGGGAAUAUUCCGCAAUGGGCGAAAGCCUGACGGAGCAACGCCGCGUGAGUGAAGAAGGAUUUCGGUUCGUAAAGCUCUGUUGUUAGGGAAGAAUGGAUAUGUAGUAACUAUACAUGUAAGAGACGGUACCUAACCAGAAAGCCACGGCUAACUACGUG
Molecule: ribosomal RNA, 499 nt
Filed under: uncultured bacterium
Lineage: Bacteria
Description: partial 16S ribosomal RNA
Rfam family: Bacterial small subunit ribosomal RNA
Source: RNAcentral